UUAGCACAACAAACCUAAAAUUGGAGAGCAGAGGCAAGUAAGAGUUGUAAAUCAGAAUGAAAUUAGUGCGUGAGAGGUGCGGACAGCGGACGUAUCCCUGAGAGUGGAAUCCAAGGGUAUCAUACGAACAAUAAGAAAGCAUGCAGUGGGCAUUCUUUCGUCAGAUCAGAGAAACAUGCAUGAUAUGAGCCAAUUGUUUUAAUUUACUUUGUUAUCAGUUAAACA
RNAcentral lists this long non-coding RNA (225 nucleotides) under Citrus x clementina. RNAcentral describes it as "Citrus clementina (C. clementina) long non-coding RNA (CCLE_LNC003131)". Lineage: Eukaryota; Viridiplantae; Streptophyta; Magnoliopsida; Sapindales; Rutaceae. The record is from RNAcentral.